UCCCUGGUGGUCUAGUGUUUAAGAUUCAGCACUUUCACUGCUGUGGCCUGGGUUCAAACCCUGGUCAGGGAA
This 72-nucleotide transfer RNA is filed under the name Ovis aries (sheep). It matches the Rfam family "tRNA". Rfam says of the family: Transfer RNA (tRNA) molecules are approximately 80 nucleotides in length. Lineage: Eukaryota; Metazoa; Chordata; Mammalia; Artiodactyla; Bovidae. The record is from Rfam by way of RNAcentral.